GUGGUAGUGGCUCAAGUGGUUAAAAUGCUGACUGUUGAUCAGCAGGUUGGCAGUUCGAGACUUCCCAGCUUCU
Molecule: non-coding RNA, 73 nt
Organism: Phrynosoma platyrhinos (Desert horned lizard)
Lineage: Eukaryota; Metazoa; Chordata; Lepidosauria; Squamata; Phrynosomatidae
Source: the annotation of a GenBank genome assembly